GGGAGCGGCAGACGGGUGAGUAACGCGUGGGAAUCUACCUUUUGCUACGGAACAACAGUUGGAAACGACUGCUAAUACCGUAUGUGCCCUUCGGGGGAAAGAUUUAUCGGCAAAGGAUGAGCCCGCGUUGGAUUAGCUAGUUGGUGAGGUAAAGGCUCACCAAGGCGACGAUCCAUAGCUGGUCUGAGAGGAUGAUCAGCCACACUGGGACUGAGACACGGCCCAGACUCCUACGGGAGGCAGCAGUGGGGAAUAUUGGACAAUGGGCGCAAGCCUGAUCCAGCCAUGCCGCGUGAGUGAUGAAGGCCCUAGGGUUGUAAAGCUCUUUCACCGGUGAAGAUAAUGACGGUAACCGGAGAAGAAGCCCCGGCUAACUUCGUGCCAGCAGCCGCGGUAAUACGAAGGGGGCUAGCGUUGUUCGGAUUUACUGGGCGUAAAGCGCACGUAGGCGGAUUUUUAAGUCAGGGGUGAAAUCCCGGGGCUCAACCCCGGAACUGCCUUUGAUACUGGGAAGUCUUGAGUAUGGGUAG
Molecule: ribosomal RNA, 530 nt
Filed under: Brucella rhizosphaerae
Lineage: Bacteria; Pseudomonadati; Pseudomonadota; Alphaproteobacteria; Hyphomicrobiales; Brucellaceae
Description: bacterial SSU rRNA
Rfam family: Bacterial small subunit ribosomal RNA
Source: RNAcentral